This 201-nucleotide ribosomal RNA is filed under the name uncultured bacterium. Its description in RNAcentral is "partial 16S ribosomal RNA". It matches the Rfam family "Bacterial small subunit ribosomal RNA", at positions 1300 to 1500 of the family's 1533-position model. The record is from RNAcentral.
GUAGUCUGNAACUCGACUACAUGAAGCUGGAAUCGCUAGUAAUCGCGAAUCAGAAUGUCGCGGUGAAUACGUUCCCGGGUCUUGUACACACCGCCCGUCACACCAUGGGAGUCGGAUAUGCCCGAAGUCAGUGACCCAACCAUAUGGAGGGAGCUGCCGAAGGUGGAGCCGAUAACUGGGGUGAAGUCGUAACAAGGUAUC